ACCCUGGUUCUUCUAAGAACCACAAAAACCUCAAUUUGAAUAAGG
Molecule: non-coding RNA, 45 nt
Organism: Otolemur garnettii (small-eared galago)
Lineage: Eukaryota; Metazoa; Chordata; Mammalia; Primates; Galagidae
Source: Rfam